Molecule: unclassified non-coding RNA, 427 nt
Filed under: Hevea brasiliensis (rubber tree)
Lineage: Eukaryota; Viridiplantae; Streptophyta; Magnoliopsida; Malpighiales; Euphorbiaceae
Source: RNAcentral
UGGGCUGGGAAUCCCUGCUGCUAAGGAUCUGAAAAGUGGGGUAACUUGAACGGGUGAGCUGAACUCUGCACUUAAUGAGGCAGAAACAGCUAAAUCUUUGUUUGCUUGCUCAUCAAAAGAUGGAAAUAUCUCCCCUGCAAUGCAUUUUGAUUCAUCAACCAAGGUAAUUUUGUGGGUUUAUCCUCUACAUAAAUAAGAAAAACUGUACAUCUUAGGCCAUUUUAUGAGAUAAGAAAAUUUAUUACCUCGAGUUAUGUUUGCACAGGAAAUAAUUUCUUUCUCACACUCAUCCACAUUACUUUGCUUUUUAAUAUGAACUGAAUGUAAUUCAUUUGGAAUGUCCUCUUGCAGUGCACCAAUCUCAGCCUGAGUUUGCUCUGUUUUAUCAGCAGCUGUAUAAGGUAUUAGAGUUGAUCCUGUACUGUAU